UACGGUGGGGGUAAGCGUUGUUCGGAAUUACUGGGCGUAAAGGGCUCGUAGGCGGCCAACUAAGUCAGACGUGAAAUCCCUCAGCUUAACUGGGGAACUGCGUCUGAUACUGGAUGGCUUGGAUUCGGGAGAGGAAUGCGGAAUUCCAGGUGUAGCGGUGAAAUGCGUAGAUAUCUGGAGGAACACCGGUGGCGAAGGCGGCAUUCUGGACCGACAUUGACGCUGAGGAGCGAAAGCCAGGGGAGCAAACGGG
RNAcentral lists this ribosomal RNA (253 nucleotides) under uncultured bacterium. RNAcentral's name for it is "partial 16S ribosomal RNA". It matches the Rfam family "Bacterial small subunit ribosomal RNA", at positions 524 to 776 of the family's 1533-position model. The record is from RNAcentral.